Molecule: ribosomal RNA, 486 nt
Filed under: uncultured bacterium
Lineage: Bacteria
Description: partial 16S ribosomal RNA
Source: RNAcentral
GUAGUUAGCCGGGGCUUCCUCCUUGGCUACCGUCACUUUCUUCGUCACCAAGGACAGAGGUUUACAACCCGAAAGCCUUCUUCCCUCACGCGGCGUUGCUGGGUCAGGCUUGCGCCCAUUGCCCAAUAUUCCCCACUGCUGCCUCCCGUAGGAGUCUGGACCGUGUCUCAGUUCCAGUGUGGCCGAUCAGCCUCUCAGCUCGGCUACCCAUCGCGGACUUGGUGGGCCGUUACCCCGCCAACUAUCUAAUGGGACGCGAACCCCUCCUUCUGCGGAUUGCUCCUUUGACCUCAUCCCGAUGCCGGGUCGUGGUCUUAUGCGGUAUUAGCACUUGUUUCCAGGUGUUAUCCCCCUCAAAAGGUCAGGUUGUUCACGCGUUACUCACCCGUUCGCCACUCAGUUACCAACCGAAAUCGAUAACUCCGUUCGACUUGCAUGUGUUAGGCACGCCGCCAGCGUUCGUCCUGAGCCAGGAUCAAACUCUGA